RNAcentral lists this ribosomal RNA (279 nucleotides) under uncultured bacterium. RNAcentral's name for it is "partial 16S ribosomal RNA". It matches the Rfam family "Bacterial small subunit ribosomal RNA", at positions 506 to 784 of the family's 1533-position model. The record is from RNAcentral.
UGCCAGCCGCCGCGGUAACACGAACCGGACGAACGUUAUUCGGAAUUACUGGGCUUAAAGAGUACGUAGGCGGCCAGGUAGGUGGGGUGUGAAAGCCCACGGCUCAACCGUGGAAUUGCGCUCCAAACCACUUGGCUUGAGGGAGACAGGGGUAAGCGGAACUGAUGGUGGAGCGGUGAAAUGCGUUGAUAUCAUCAGGAACACCAGUGGCGAAGGCGGCUUACUGGGUCUCUUCUGACGCUGAGGUACGAAAGCGUGGGGAGCAAACAGGAUUAGAUA